ACACGGCCGUAUUUGGAGGUCAAUUGGUUACCAUGAGUUUCGAGGUAGAUUAACUUUCUGUACGUGGUUAGUUUAUAGCAGAGUGUAUAAACACAGUAUUUCUAUGGCUCUGGUUUAUAGUAAGCAGGUUUUGGGUUAGCAAUUAUGCGAAAAGAGGUCAUAUACUAAUACGUUUAAUAUAAUAUAUAUUUGUUUGUUGAAUGUAUGUUUCAUCGUAAUAUGAUUGGUGCCAGUUGCUGUAAGUAACGUAAACGUGUUUUAUCUCAGAUACAUAUUAUUUAAACAAUUACUAUAAAAUGGUUCCCCCACCUUCGUACAAUGCCCACGAAACAUCAGCAUUCGCUGUUUUUGAGAAGCCAGUGCUAGUGAAGCCCCCAAGUCCUGUUUGUCGCCAACUAUUUGGUCUUUCAGAUCAAUUAGAGACGAGCAGACGACUUAAAGAGGUUUUGGAUUCUGAAGCUAAAAGAUUUCAGUUCGCCUGGAACUUCGACGUCCGUAAAGUUCCAGCUGCGGGAAAUCAGUCGCCGGAUCCCGGGGCAGCUGCACCGGGCAAACCGAAGCGUUUUGAGUGGAAGUUACAACAAAGAAGUGAAGUGCCCCACUUCUACACUCGACCCUUUGCAACCCACAGGUUGGCAAUGACGUCACCUCGUCUCGACCGUUCCCCGUUGAAAAAGAACCGCACCCAGAAAAGCCACCACGAUAGACACCUAACAAACACUUCCUCUCCGACGCCCCUUAGUCAACGAGAUGAAAACGUCUCCCGAUCGAUCAUAAAUCCAUCUAAACGACUUUGCACCCCCCUUUUUACGAGCCCACCUAAGCUAACCACCGAAGCGAAGCCAGACUUGACCAGAGUUCCUGCAAUGAGAAUUCCCCCGAUUACGCCAAGCGCCGACUCCAACAAGCCCACAUGGUUAGUGACGACAUGGAAAAGGCAACCGCAUCGGAGCCAGUCGGGUCCAUGGUCGCUUCCAACUCAUUGAAGCGGCCUGCCUCUCGAAAGUUGUUCAACCUGAGCACUCCAAGUCCAAAGCGAUCGCGAACUAGCAGCCGACAACCGAAAAUAACAGACGUGAUGCCACAACGAAAACUCCGUUCAACGUCGAACAACAAAAGCGAAGGCAAUAAAACUGUGAACCCCAUAAACUCUGCCUCUUUGCAAGCAGCCAAAGCAAGUAAUUGAUACGAAAAUAAAGUUGAUCCACACAAGAAUGAAACUAGAGAACUAUCCAAUCAUAUAAAGUUAAAGCUACCAAAGCAAGUUUACUGCCGACAAAACCCCAAUCAUGAAGCUGCUGCCGAUAUUCAUUAUUUUGCUGCUGUGUGCUUGCCGAUUAUCCUCGCUUAACCUGCUUUUCGUUUUCAACUAUAAUUACGUCAUACAAACUCAUAGUGACGUCACACAAAAAGUUUGCACCGAUUCUGUUCUAUUUUUCUAUAUUUUCCUUAUGCGUUUUCAAUAUUACGUUUCUUGUUUGAAAUUAAAUGGAUUUCAAUGAAA
Non-coding RNA from Ciona intestinalis (vase tunicate), 1504 nucleotides. The record is from RefSeq and is a predicted model, not a curated record. NCBI's taxonomy places the organism in Eukaryota, Metazoa, Chordata, Ascidiacea, Phlebobranchia, Cionidae.